Molecule: ribosomal RNA, 292 nt
Filed under: uncultured bacterium
Lineage: Bacteria
Description: partial 16S ribosomal RNA
Rfam family: Bacterial small subunit ribosomal RNA
Source: RNAcentral
GUGUCAGCCGCCGCGGUAAUACGUAGGGGGCCAGCGUUGUCCGGAAUCAUUGGGCGUAAAGAGCGUGUAGGCGGCCAUGUAGGUCCGAUGUGAAAACUCGAGGCUCAACCUCGAGCUGUCAUUGGAAACCAUGUGGCUAGAGUCCGGAAGAGGAGAGUGGAAUUCCUGGUGUAGCGGUGAAAUGCGCAGAUAUCAGGAAGAACACCUAUGGCGAAGGCAGCUCUCUGGGACGGUACUGACGCUGAGACGCGAAAGCGUGGGGAGCGAACAGGAUUAGAUACCCCCGUAGUCC